UUUUUCCAUAACAGAUUAUUCAAUCUUUGUUCCACUUUAGAUGAACUUGCCCUAUAUGCUUCAUCUUUAACACUAUUCAUCACUUCUACCAGCUGCUUUAACUCACUCUUUUUCACCACAAUCUUCAUCCUCACUACCCCUUCUUCUCUGCAUGAAAUAACUCUCAAACUUCCACUUUCAUUUGCUUUUCUAACCAUGGCUUCCAGCAUAUGAUGCUCACUUUUACUCUUCCUUGAUAAAAGUGACUUUAUACCCAUUUAGAACUUUUCAAUUCUAUGUGUAUGUGACUAUGUGUAUGUGACUAUGUGAUAGUAGCUACUACUAUUGAAUAUUAAAG
Molecule: long non-coding RNA, 337 nt
Filed under: Lupinus angustifolius (narrow-leaved blue lupine)
Lineage: Eukaryota; Viridiplantae; Streptophyta; Magnoliopsida; Fabales; Fabaceae
Description: long non-coding RNA (LANG_LNC002857)
Source: RNAcentral